UUCCAGGCCGAGUGGUUAAGGCGACAGACUUGAAUCUUCUUCCGGUAUCUGUUUCAUUCGUGAGCGCAGGUUCGAACCCUGCAGGUGUCGAAU
Molecule: transfer RNA, 93 nt
Filed under: Heterodermia speciosa
Lineage: Eukaryota; Fungi; Ascomycota; Lecanoromycetes; Caliciales; Physciaceae
Description: tRNA-Ser
Rfam family: tRNA (bases 6-82)
About the family: Transfer RNA (tRNA) molecules are approximately 80 nucleotides in length. Their secondary structure includes four short double-helical elements and three loops (D, anti-codon, and T loops). Further hydrogen bonds mediate the characteristic L-shaped molecular structure. tRNAs have two regions of fundamental functional importance: the anti-codon, which is responsible for specific mRNA codon recognition, and the 3' end, to which the tRNAs corresponding amino acid is attached (by aminoacyl-tRNA synthetases). tRNAs cope with the degeneracy of the genetic code in two manners: having more than one tRNA (with a specific anti-codon) for a particular amino acid; and 'wobble' base-pairing, i.e. permitting non-standard base-pairing at the 3rd anti-codon position.
Source: RNAcentral